RNAcentral lists this long non-coding RNA (628 nucleotides) under Lotus japonicus. RNAcentral describes it as "long non-coding RNA (LJAP_LNC002251)". Lineage: Eukaryota; Viridiplantae; Streptophyta; Magnoliopsida; Fabales; Fabaceae. The record is from RNAcentral.
AAGAAUUCAAACCAGUGAAGAUCAAUCUAAGGCGUCCCUCCCCACAAGAAAUGAUGCGAGAGAAAGAAUUCAUGAUGAAGUUCUAAUUAAUGCAUCCUCCACUGUGGUAUUUGAGAAGAGGGAAAGAAUUCCCCGCAAUGAAGAUCGAAACAACAUUCCGCCUAUUCCUAACACAAUGUCUGAAACCGGUAAAUCUCCAUCCUCCACUGCGGUAUUUGAGAAGAGGGAAAGAAUUCCUCGCAAUGAAGAUCGAAACAACAUUCCGCCUAUUCCUAACACAAUGUCUGAAACCGGUAAAUCUCCAUCCUCCACUGUGGUAUUUGAGAAGAGGGAAAGAAUGCCCCGCAAUGAAGAUCGAAAAAACAUUCCGCCUAUUCCUAACACAAUGUCUGAAACUGGUAAAUCUCCAUCCUCCACUGUGGUAUUCGAGAAGAGGGAAAGAAUUCCCCGCAAUGAAGAUCGAAACAACAUUCCGCCUAUUCCUAACACAAUGUCUGAAACCGGUAAAUCUGCAUCCUCCACUGUGGUGUUUGAGAAGAGGGAAAGAAUUCCCCGCAAUGAAGAUAGAAACAACAUUCUGCCGAUUCCUAACACAAUGUCUGAAACCGAUAAAUCUCCGAGUAUACCG